This 497-nucleotide ribosomal RNA is filed under the name uncultured bacterium. RNAcentral describes it as "partial 16S ribosomal RNA". It matches the Rfam family "Bacterial small subunit ribosomal RNA", at positions 28 to 507 of the family's 1533-position model. The record is from RNAcentral.
GAUGAACGCUGGCGGCGUGCCUAAUACAUGCAAGUCGAGCGAACAGAUGAGGAGCUUGCUCCUCUGACGUUAGCGGCGGACGGGUGAGUAACACGUGGAUAACCUACCUAUAAGACUGGGAUAACUUCGGGAAACCGGAGCUAAUACCGGAUAAUAUAUUGAACCGCAUGGUUCAAUAGUGAAAGACGGUUUUGCUGUCACUUAUAGAUGGAUCCGCGCCGCAUUAGCUAGUUGGUAAGGUAACGGCUUACCAAGGCAACGAUGCGUAGCCGACCUGAGAGGGUGAUCGGCCACACUGGAACUGAGACACGGACCAGACUCCUACGGGAGGCAGCAGUAGGGAAUCUUCCGCAAUGGGCGAAAGCCUGACGGAGCAACGCCGCGUGAGUGAUGAAGGUCUUCGGAUCGUAAAACUCUGUUAUCAGGGAAGAACAAAUGUGUAAGUAACUGUGCACGUCUUGACGGUACCUGAUCAGAAAGCCACGGCUAACUACGUG